UAGAUUGUAAAGAAAUUAACUGUGUAUCGGUGAAAUGCGUAGAUAUUAGGAAGGAACACCAGUGGCGAAGGCGGCUAUCUGGACUGUUACUGACGCUGAGGUGCGAAAGCGUGGGGAGCAAACA
Molecule: ribosomal RNA, 124 nt
Filed under: Campylobacter jejuni
Lineage: Bacteria; Pseudomonadati; Campylobacterota; Epsilonproteobacteria; Campylobacterales; Campylobacteraceae
Description: partial 16S ribosomal RNA
Rfam family: Bacterial small subunit ribosomal RNA
Source: RNAcentral